UACGUAGGGGGCAAGCGUUGUCCGGAUUCAUUGGGCGUAAAGAGCGUGUAGGCGGCCAGGUAGGUCGGUUGUGAAAACUGGAGGCUCAACCUUCAGAGGUCGACCGAAACCAUCUGGCUAGAGUCCGGGAGAGGAGAGUGGAAUUCCUGGUGUAGCGGUGAAAUGCGCAGAUAUCAGGAAGAACACCCGUGGCGAAAGCGGCUCUCUGGAACGGUACUGGACGCUGAGACGCGAAAGCGUGGGAGCGAACAGG
This 253-nucleotide ribosomal RNA is filed under the name uncultured bacterium. RNAcentral describes it as "partial 16S ribosomal RNA". It matches the Rfam family "Bacterial small subunit ribosomal RNA", at positions 524 to 776 of the family's 1533-position model. The record is from RNAcentral.